Molecule: ribosomal RNA, 497 nt
Filed under: uncultured bacterium
Lineage: Bacteria
Description: partial 16S ribosomal RNA
Rfam family: Bacterial small subunit ribosomal RNA
Source: RNAcentral
GAUGAACGCUGGCGGCGUGCCUAAUACAUGCAAGUCGAACGAACAGAUGCGGCGCUUGCUCCUCUGACGUUAGCGGCGGACGGGUGUGUAACACGAGGAUACCCUACCUAUAAGACUGGGAUAACUUGGGGAAACCGGAUCUUAUACCGGAUAAUAUAUUGAACCGCAUGGUUCAAUAGUGAGAGUCGGUGUUGGGGUCACUUCUAGCUGGUUACGGGCCGCAUUAGGUAGUUGGUAAGUUAACGGGUUACCAAGGGUACGCGGCGUAGCCGACCUGUGAGAGUGAUCGGCCACACUGGAACUGAGACACGCUCAAGAGUCCUACGGGAGGCCGCAGUAGGGAAUGGUCGGCAAUAGGCGAAAGCAUGACGGAGCAGCGGCGCGUGAGUGAUGAAGGUCUUCGGAGCGUAAAACUCGGUUAUGAGUGAAGAACAGAUGUGUAAGUAGAUAUGCACGUAUUGACGGUAACUAGUCAGAAAGCAACGGCUAACUACGUG